UACGAAGGGGGCUAGCGUUGCUCGGAAUUACUGGGCGUAAAGGGAGCGUAGGCGGACAGUUUAGUCAGAGGUGAAAGCCCAGGGCUCAACCUUGGAAUUGCCUUUGAUACUGGCUGUCUUGAGUACGGGAGAGGUGUGUGGAACUCCGAGUGUAGAGGUGAAAUUCGUAGAUAUUCGGAAGAACACCAGUGGCGAAGGCGACACACUGGCACGUUACUGACGCUGAGGCUCGAAAGCGUGGGGAGCAAACAGG
RNAcentral lists this ribosomal RNA (253 nucleotides) under uncultured bacterium. RNAcentral's name for it is "partial 16S ribosomal RNA". It matches the Rfam family "Bacterial small subunit ribosomal RNA", at positions 524 to 776 of the family's 1533-position model. The record is from RNAcentral.